AUCGUCAUCGGUCGAAAUAGAAAAGAAAAAUACAUACUAUGAAUAUAUACGAACAAAUUACAUACAAAGCUCAAGUAAAUUACGCGAUCGACGAUACAAAGUGUAAGAUCAAAAGAAGUCGACGGCGUGUAGCAAUGGUUAAAACCUUUGGUACGAUUAACAGACAAACAGGAUCUUCGCCGCAGAAGGCCACGACGUAACGUGAUCAAAAUUGAAAUCGCUGCCAUCGGCUGCAUGCGUAAGAAACCUGUUUAACUCUUCUACGAAUAUACAAUCACGGCACAUUCGAACAACGUAAUUACACGCUGCGCAACUGUGAAGGUACUAGAACCAAAUUUAUCACCGCAAACUAUACUCUGCCACAAUGUUGCAAUCUACUGUCACCGACUCUGUGCGAUGCGAUUCGCCAUGUGUUGGUUUCUAACAUCGAGUAAAUAGAUUCCUCCUGACACAAAUAUACACCUCGACAGCCUAUUAUUUAUGUAGACGUUCCUUCAUAUUUCAUCCGAUUAAAAAUAACAAAUUCAAAAUUCAUUACGACCCUAUUCUAUCCAGUGUCAUCCACUGUAGUUAAUUCUAGCCUUAUAGGUAACACUACUCCAAUCGCUUAUCAGUAAACCUGAUACAAGCAGAGUUCCCCAUAUGUAUAACGAAUAUCCAUUCAUUCGUUUCGACUUCCCCUAUCUCGGAGAUCGGAAGAGCACACUUCUG
This is a long non-coding RNA of Frieseomelitta varia, 711 nucleotides long. RefSeq lists it as uncharacterized. The transcript has 4 exons. The record is from RefSeq and is a predicted model, not a curated record. Lineage: Eukaryota; Metazoa; Arthropoda; Insecta; Hymenoptera; Apidae.